GACGAACGCUGGCGGCGUGCUUAACACAUGCAAGUCGAGCGGAAAGGCCACUUCGGUGGUACUCGAGCGGCGAACGGGUGAGUAACACGUGAGUAAUCUGCCCCUGGCUUUGGGAUAGCCACCGGAAACGGUGAUUAAUACCGGAUACGACCACUUCUCGCAUGGGAUGGUGGUGGAAAGAUUUUUCGGCCAGGGAUGUGCUCGCGGCCUAUCAGCUUGAUGGUGAGGUAAUGGCUCACCAUGGCUUCGACGGGUAGCCGGCCUGAGAGGGUGACCAGUCUCACUGGGACUGAGACACGGACCAGACUGCUACGGUAGGCAGCAGUGGGGAAUAUUGGACAAUGGACGGAAGCCUGAUCCAGCAACGCCGCGUGAGGGAUGACGGUCUUCGGGUUGUAAACCUCUUUCAGCAGGGACGAAGCGCAAGUGACGGUACCUGCAGAAGAAGCACCGGCCAACUACGUGCCAGCAGCCGCCGCUG
Molecule: ribosomal RNA, 481 nt
Filed under: uncultured bacterium
Lineage: Bacteria
Description: partial 16S ribosomal RNA
Rfam family: Bacterial small subunit ribosomal RNA
Source: RNAcentral